RNAcentral lists this ribosomal RNA (589 nucleotides) under Salmonella enterica. Its description in RNAcentral is "partial 23S ribosomal RNA". It matches the Rfam family "Bacterial large subunit ribosomal RNA", at positions 600 to 1190 of the family's 2925-position model. Lineage: Bacteria; Pseudomonadati; Pseudomonadota; Gammaproteobacteria; Enterobacterales; Enterobacteriaceae. The record is from RNAcentral. RNAcentral also lists the same sequence under 1 other name.
CGUACCUUUUGUAUAAUGGGUCAGCGACUUAUAUUCUGUAGCAAGGUUAACCGUAUAGGGGAGCCGUAGGGAAACCGAGUCUUAACCGGGCGUUAAGUUGCAGGGUAUAGACCCGAAACCCGGUGAUCUAGCCAUGGGCAGGUUGAAGGUUGGGUAACACUAACUGGAGGACCGAACCGACUAAUGUUGAAAAAUUAGCGGAUGACCUGUGGCUGGGGGUGAAAGGCCAAUCAAACCGGGAGAUAGCUGGUUCUCCCCGAAAGCUAUUUAGGUAGCGCCUCGUGAAUUCAUCUCCGGGGGUAGAGCACUGUUUCGGCUAGGGGGCCAUCCCGGCUUACCAACCCGAUGCAAACUGCGAAUACCGGAGAAUGUUAUCACGGGAGACACACGGCGGGUGCUAACGUCCGUCGUGAAGAGGGAAACAACCCAGACCGCCAGCUAAGGUCCCAAAGUCAUGGUUAAGUGGGAAACGAUGUGGGAAGGCCCAGACAGCCAGGAUGUUGGCUUAGAAGCAGCCAUCAUUUAAAGAAAGCGUAAUAGCUCACUGGUCGAGUCGGCCUGCGCGGAAGAUGUAACGGGGCUAAACCAU